This 220-nucleotide non-coding RNA is filed under the name Karenia brevis. Lineage: Eukaryota; Dinophyceae; Gymnodiniales; Kareniaceae. The record is from RNAcentral.
UAGCAGCAUCGUUGCACAUGUCAAAGCCAAAAUCCUGCAGCCUCCUGCUGGCACUCUCUGCCCAUUGGCACGGGGACUUUCCCCGCAGCAUUGCCAGGAGCAAACUCCUCGUUUGUGCGCUGCAAAGUCGUGCUUCCCCUGCCUUCUGAAGCACAUGCUGAUGCCCAUUACCACCUGCAAUGAAGAUGCUCUUACACCAAAGACUUCUGAAAAAUUGACU